RNAcentral lists this transfer RNA (90 nucleotides) under Acinetobacter baumannii. Its description in RNAcentral is "tRNA-Ser". It matches the Rfam family "tRNA". From Rfam's summary of the family: Transfer RNA (tRNA) molecules are approximately 80 nucleotides in length. Their secondary structure includes four short double-helical elements and three loops (D, anti-codon, and T loops). Further hydrogen bonds mediate the characteristic L-shaped molecular structure. tRNAs have two regions of fundamental functional importance: the anti-codon, which is responsible for specific mRNA codon recognition, and the 3' end, to which the tRNAs corresponding amino acid is attached (by aminoacyl-tRNA synthetases). tRNAs cope with the degeneracy of the genetic code in two manners: having more than one tRNA (with a specific anti-codon) for a particular amino acid; and 'wobble' base-pairing, i.e. permitting non-standard base-pairing at the 3rd anti-codon position. Lineage: Bacteria; Pseudomonadati; Pseudomonadota; Gammaproteobacteria; Moraxellales; Moraxellaceae. RNAcentral also lists the same sequence under 39 other names. The record is from RNAcentral.
GGAGGUUUGGGUGAGUGGUUUAAACCAGCAGUCUUGAAAACUGCCGACGGGGUGACCCGUCCGUGAGUUCGAAUCUCACAGCCUCCGCCA